AUACUUACCUGGCAGGGGAGAAACCAUGAUCAUGAAGGUGGUUCACCCAGGGCGAGGCUCAGCCAUUGCACUUCGGUUGUGCUGACCCUUGCGAAUUCCCCAAAUGUGGGAAUCUCGACUGCAAAAUUUGUGGUAGUGGGGGACUGCGUCCGCGCUCUCCCCUG
Molecule: small nuclear RNA, 164 nt
Organism: Pleuronectes platessa (European plaice)
Lineage: Eukaryota; Metazoa; Chordata; Actinopteri; Pleuronectiformes; Pleuronectidae
Product: U1 spliceosomal RNA
Exons: 1
Source: RefSeq, a predicted model, not a curated record